This 253-nucleotide ribosomal RNA is filed under the name uncultured bacterium. RNAcentral describes it as "partial 16S ribosomal RNA". It matches the Rfam family "Bacterial small subunit ribosomal RNA", at positions 524 to 776 of the family's 1533-position model. The record is from RNAcentral.
UACGGGGGGGGCAAGCGUUGUUCGGAAUUACUGGGCGUAAAGGGCUUGUAGGUGGCCAAGUAAGUCAGACGUGAAAUCCCUCGGCUUAACCGGGGAACUGCGUCUGAUACUGGAUGGCUGGAGUGUGGGAGAGGGAUGCGGAAUUCCAGGUGUAGCGGUGAAAUGCGUAGAUAUCUGGAAGAACACCAGUGGCGAAGGCGGCUCACUGGUCCGGUACUGACGCUGAGGUGCGAAAGCGUGGGGAGCAAACAGG